RNAcentral lists this non-coding RNA (67 nucleotides) under Phycisphaerae bacterium. Lineage: Bacteria; Pseudomonadati; Planctomycetota; Phycisphaerae. The record is from RNAcentral.
AAGUGAAACAGGGCCUCGCGGCCCUGUCUGUCGUGUGUGGUUACACGGCACUGAUGAGCAACCGAUC